This 492-nucleotide ribosomal RNA is filed under the name uncultured bacterium. RNAcentral describes it as "bacterial SSU rRNA". It matches the Rfam family "Bacterial small subunit ribosomal RNA", at positions 903 to 1397 of the family's 1533-position model. The record is from RNAcentral.
AAAUGAAUUGACGGGGGCCCGCACAAGCAGCGGAGCAUGUGGUUUAAUUCGAAGCAACGCGAAGAACCUUACCUGGACUUGACAUCCCCUGAAUUACUCGUAACUGAGGAAAUCUCUUCGGAGACAGGGAGACAGGUGGUGCAUGGUUGUCGUCAGCUCGUGUCGUGAGAUGUUGGGUUAAGUCCCGCAACGAGCGCAACCCUUAUUAUUAGUUGCUACCAUUAAGUUGAGCACUCUAAUGAGACUGCCCGGGUGAACCGGGAGGAAGGUGGGGAUGACGUCAAAUCAUCAUGCCCCUUAUGUCCAGGGCUACACACGUGCUACAAUGGUGGGUACAGAGAGAAGCAAUACCGCGAGGUGGAGCAAAUCUCAAAAACCCAUCCCAGUUCGGAUUGCAGGCUGAAACUCGCCUGCAUGAAGCCGGAGUUGCUAGUAAUCGCAAAUCAGAAUGUUGCGGUGAAUACGUUCCCGGGCCUUGUACACACCGCCCGU